Molecule: long non-coding RNA, 663 nt
Filed under: Nicotiana tabacum (common tobacco)
Lineage: Eukaryota; Viridiplantae; Streptophyta; Magnoliopsida; Solanales; Solanaceae
Description: long non-coding RNA (NTAB_LNC014854)
Source: RNAcentral
GUAGUAUUUUCGACAUGGAACAUGAAUAUGUAUGUGAAAAACAUCAAAAACAAAUAUUAUAUUAUGAACCUAUAAUUCCAAAAGUAUAAUAAGUUGGGUGCUAAGAAUUUUAAAGGCGGAGCCCAUCAAAGUUCAAAUCUUGGAUCGGCCUUUCGCUCUCUCUCAAAUACAAUAAGUUCAGUUCUAAGAAUAUUAUGAAUGCUUCUGACUUUUUUUUGUUUGUUUGAUUUUUUCAGUGUACUUCAAGGAAGUGUCGGUGAGCAUUGCUUUCACCAUUGUAAAACAGCCCCAAUCAUAAUAGUUCCUGGAAAAGGUACUUUGUCCAAGAAUUGUAUUCUCUAGCUUUGCUUCACUUGUUUUGUUUUUCUAAAUUUUUACUUUGGGGUGAUUGCGAUAGUUGCAAAAAUCUGAAGAAAAUCUAAUUUUGUUAAGCAGAAGCAGGGGAAGAAUCUGUAAUUUAAUGGAACUUGCCAAGUUUGAGUACUGCUGAUGAUCAUGCAGUAUGGCAGCAGCUUUGUUUGCUAUUGACAGGAUCGUUGACAGCUUUGCUAUUAUUGAUGUAAAUUUGUGUUUUCUGGCGUAUUCUGGAUCUACUUUGUGUAUUUCAGUAUUCAUGAUUUGUUUGUUCAACUACCGAUAUGUUGUUAAUAUGAUUAAGAAUUC